CCUACGCGUGGCAGCAGUGGGGAAUCUUGCGCAAUGGGCGAAAGCCUGCCGCAGCGACGCCGCGUGAGGGAUGCAGGUCUUCGGAUCGUAAACCUCUGUCAGCAGGGAAGAACGGUCACUGUGCUACUCCGCAGUGCAUUGACGGUACCUGCAAAGGCAGCACCGGCUAACUCCGGGCCAGCAGCCGCGGUAAUCCGGCGGGUGCGAGCGUUAAUCGGAAUUACUGGGCGUAAAGCGCUCGUAGGCGGUAUGUCAAGUCAAGGGUGAAAUCCCCGCGCUCAACGUGGGAACUGCCUUUGAAUGUGGCAAACUUGAGUGUGUGAGAGGAUAGUGGAAUUCCAGGU
This 344-nucleotide ribosomal RNA is filed under the name uncultured bacterium. RNAcentral describes it as "partial 16S ribosomal RNA". It matches the Rfam family "Bacterial small subunit ribosomal RNA", at positions 338 to 674 of the family's 1533-position model. The record is from RNAcentral.